GCACCAAAUAAUAUAGCACCCAAAUUUCUAAUGGAGAAACUAGGAGAAUUGAAGGAAGAAAUAGACAGUAAAACCAUAUUAGUGGGAGACGGCUGGGGCAGAUAUGGAGGAUCUCUAAAGCUCUGGCCAGGCUGCCAGGUCUAUGCUCCUUCUAGGCUGCCAUCUUGACUUCGCCUCUAGGUUUCUGUUUUUUCAGAACACCCAGGUCUCUAAGGGGGGAGGGGUCGUGGCUUGCCUGGACUCUGAUAACUCCUGAUGGGAUUAGGUUCAGGUGGUAUGGGCCAAAUGAUCCCCAAGCCAAAAAAAAGAAGAAAAAGAAAAGCAGCAACCUCCUCCUCCACCAUCUGUGUUGGGUGCCCAGAAACUGGCCCAGGUUACUUUCAAGGGUUCAUUCUAUGGAUCAUGCCCAAGUUGCCCUUCCUGGUUCCAGAUGGCUAAAUGAGAACUCUGAGUCAUGCUCCAGCGAAAUGUGAGUCAUCUUGACUUCAUCAUCAUACCAUUUAUGUAAAACUCAUUAUGACUUCAUUAUUGAAAAAGACACUUGUGAUUUGCAGUGAUGAAGCACGGUCC
This 570-nucleotide long non-coding RNA is filed under the name Monodelphis domestica (gray short-tailed opossum). Its description in RNAcentral is "lncRNA (ENSMODG00000032826.2)". Lineage: Eukaryota; Metazoa; Chordata; Mammalia; Didelphimorphia; Didelphidae. The record is from RNAcentral.